Molecule: long non-coding RNA, 3556 nt
Organism: Solanum tuberosum (potato)
Lineage: Eukaryota; Viridiplantae; Streptophyta; Magnoliopsida; Solanales; Solanaceae
Exons: 4
Source: RefSeq, a predicted model, not a curated record
AAGUAUUAGUUUCUUUGACAUUGAUCUAAUGCUUUUUGAUGGGCAUAAGUUCUGCUCAAUUUAUUAUUUUAGUUGUACCUUCUUCUGAAGGAUAUGGUGUCUCAUGAGAUGGACUGAUACUGAGGAGAGAAAGAUAUGGUAGUCAUUUUGCAAAAUAUUGGAUUGACAACUAUUAUGUUCAUAACUUGGAAUGGUUGUCGUAGUAUAUAGGGUUGCAUGCAUUGAUCAACUGAUUGGCUGUUUGACGGUUUGUGUUCGUUACUAUCUCUUUACAGAUGUCCUUUUAUUUAUUGUUUUGUGGGUUUACUUGUAAUUGAGGAAACUGGGAUGGCUUUACACGACACAAAAUAUUGAUUCUUACAUUUUGUUUUUGCUUUUAUUGUAUGAUGUUCAUGUACGUCGCAUUUCUGGUGCCUUAUUUGCAAUAAAAUACUUUCUUUAUCUGUACCGCGUCCCAAAACAUAUAUAAAUAGAGAGAGAUGAAAUAUAUUUUUUGUUGAUCACAACUGUAUGAAGAUAUUUUUUGAUUAUUUAUUCUAAGCUAAAGUUGAGUUGGAACAUACAUAUUGGUACUUAGGUACUUUUAGCUAGCUCAUAGAGAUAUUAAAUGUCCCUUGUUCUUGUUUGUCAAUUAUAACAUGUCACUUGUUCAUUUUUGUUUCAUGUUAGAUGUGCAAUCAACUUGCCAGAAAUGAUGUGUAGCAUUGAACUCCCUUUGUUGGCACCAUUGAUACUGACUGUGUUAAUCUGAUAAAAGCUAUUUUGAUGUGUAUUUCAAGAAUCUCUUGUGGUGACUAGUUGGUUCUUAAUGGUACUUGUACGAUGGGUGCCCUUUCCUUCUCUUUAUUGAGGAUACUGUCGCGAAUAUCUGGACUGGAAGUGACUUUGUCGGUGAGAGCAAUUGUAGAAAUAGUCAAUCAGCUCCGCCAUUUUACCAUGGCAAGAAGAAGUUAUUUGCCACGACUGAGUUUUCAAGAAAGGCAGCAGGAAAUAAGAAUAUUAAGACUGUUCAUGAUGUGCCACUCAGGCCAGAAACUAGAGCUGUAAGGAGACUGCAUCAUUCUGCAGAAGCUAUCUGCUUGGUGCUUCCACGACAGUCAUCCCAUCAAUGUGAUCAAUCUUCCACCCCAAGUUGUGGUGAUGGUGUAUUCUCUGAUGAAAGGUCAAGUGUGAAACUGAAACUUGUUAACAUUUGGAAUAGCAAAUUACAAGCUCUAGGGGAGUGCACAAGUACACAUGAUGAGGAGUCAAAAGAAAGUAAACUAUUCCUGCGCUGCCAUUCAUUCCUGACGUGAAUAAGAGCUGAAUUUUUCUACUGCAUGUUUCAGUUAAUUAGCUUCAUUUCUUUCACCCAGUUUUCAAGAUUAUCUUAGAGCAUUCUUAUUAAUCAUGAAAACAUUACAGAUUACAAUGUCUUUUUCCAAGUCUCCUGGGCCACAAAAUAGUCUCUUUCAAAUUCCAUCUUGCUUGUGUGUCAUGCCUGACAUUUUUUAUUCAAAUUUUCAGAAUUUUCACAAACAAAAUCUUAAAGUUUCUUACUGAAGAAAAUGAGUGAUAUACGGUGCUUUCUCUUUUGCUUCAUCACUUUGUGACUGUUUGGCGGAGUUUAUUCUUGUGUAGAAACUUAGGCCCACGUCGAGAUAGAUGAGCACUCCUUUUUACAUAGUCAAGGACUAUGAUCUUUUGUUUGAUUCUAACAUUUAUCUUCGUUGAACAUUAUACUCAUUGUCAUGUUCUACAGCAUGCUUCAGAUGAAUGAAUUUGUAACUUACUGAAUUAUCAGGUCCUAUCUGGAAAAAUGAGGACAACAACCUAUCUUGAUUCUGAGCAAGAAAUGGUAUGUUUAUUUUGGUCAUAGGUAACACUGAUUUUGAGUCUUUGACCAUGAUUUCGCAGGUCAUGCCUGUUACCAAAUUCAAAACUGGGGUUGGAUCUGCAAUGUUCAUUCUCAAGCUUCAAGAUCAUUUACCAAGUAAGUUACGAUCUUUGUUUGGAGUUUCAUGUCACAACCAGUCUAUGGAACUUGAGAAAACUGUCAUUUACAUUGCACUUACUUUUGCAACAUGAAGUUAUAUGUUUUGGUUGAAGCAGUAACAUAAAUCUGAUUCACAAGCAGCUAAAAUCUGUCACACUUCUUGCGGUAACAUUUUCUAAUACUUGUCUCUGUCAUAUUAUACAUUCCUAAAGUAAAGUACAUGCAAACCAUUUGCAAAUCGGUCUUAGAAGGGAAAGGUAUUGUAGUACUGAUUGUAGUUGUUGAUACAGGAUUAGUUGCUCACCUACUACAUUCUCAAACCUUUUACUACAACUUAUAGCUUAUCUCUUCAACAUUUAUAUUCCUCCCUCCGGUGGAUAUAUGCCUGUCUAAAUGUGGAAAAAAAGAAUGAAAAACAUUUCUUCUCAGACUAGUUAUUCUGUUUUGAGGUAUCAAUAACACAGUUUAUAUCAGUUCUGUGCUCCAUCUUAAGGCUUUCAUGUGUCAUUUGUGCGCAUUGUCUCUUAAGGUCCAUUUUAUGUUGUUUUUUUUGGUAAAAAGUAAAUACCAUUGACAAACGAAGGAGCCAAUACACCUACAGAGCGGCUAGAAUUCAUAGCCACCUUCUAUGAUCUUUUAAGCCUCCUACUGAACAAGAGAACUAGUUACAUGAAAAAUGUUGAAUCAACCUAUAAUUUCUAUGAGCUUUCUUAGAUCCUCUAAACAAUGCUAUUCUCUUUGUAUAUUCCAUUUUAUGUUUUAAUUGGGUUGGUUAUAGCAAGUAAAUUAUGAAUUGUAACUUAUAAGGGAAGAGCUUUUUUGUUCUAAUACCAUCAGUAACUAGACAAUGCUAGAAGUUGUUUCUUUUUGAAUUAUUGUAAGGCCUUGAAGCUUGAAUAGCUUCCAACAUGAUUUGGAAAACUAUUCAUGAAAUCAUUCAUGUUUUAGGAAAAUACUCCACUAGCUAACUAGAUUCUCUUGCACGUGUUUCAUAAGAAAAUGAUUGUUUUCUUGAUGAUAAUACAGACUCCGUGUAUUUUGGGCAUCAAUCUAAGUGAUGUGGAUCUGUUAGAAUUUAUUCAACAGGCAUUAGUCCAUCGACUCUAACUAGCUCUCAUAUUUUACUCUAACCUUGUUUAAGUUCUUGCUUAAAUGUCGUGUCAUGUUCUCUGAAUAAUGUAUUAGCUUGCUGAUACAGAUGGAGCAUCAAUAGUACCCCAUCAGUGAAUCGGGUCCUGAAUAACAAGACUUGCAAGGAGUAAGUUAAUAUUUAAUGAUUUUAGAUAUUUUUCUUAAUUCCUGAUGUCUUUGUUUUCAUUUGUGUUGGAACAAUAUGAAGUCAUGGCAUGGAUUGCAUCGGCAUGAAAUCAACCUAUAAUGUGCAGCAAAGUGACUAAGAUCAUCUGUAUCCUAGUGACAAAAUUAUCUCUGAAGUUAAUCUGGAUCUGGAGCACGAUGCAUCUAUAGAGAUUCAAGAAAUAAAUUGUACAUCAACUCUCUCUCUCUCUCUCAAAACACACACUCAUAUGCUCAUACGUACACACGCAUUGCUGCAACCCUCAAUUUGCCUUCUCCACAACC